This 208-nucleotide unclassified non-coding RNA is filed under the name uncultured fungus. Its description in RNAcentral is "sequence contains ITS1". The record is from RNAcentral. Lineage: Eukaryota; Fungi.
UAUUCCAUUUUGCCAUACGGCAGACAAAACAUCCAAUAUUUUAAAACAAGAGUUUAUGAAUUUCGAAGGCAGGCUUAAAAACCCCACCUCCAAAUCUAAGUGCACAGGUGUAAAUUGGACUAGGAGAGCAAGCACAUGCAGUCAAACUGCCAGCAUCAACUCCCUGUUAAAUUCAUUAAUGAUCCUUCCGCAGGUUCACCUACGGAAA